CCUCAGUAACGGCGAGUGAAGCGGUAACAGCUCAAAUUUGAAAUCUGGCCUUGGCCCGAGUUGUAAUUUGUAGAAGAUGCUUCGGGCGUGGCACCGGUCUAAGUUCCUUGGAACAGGACGUCAUAGAGGGUGAGAAUCCCGUAUGUGACUGGCUGCCUACCCCAUGUGAAGCUCUUUCGACGAGUCGAGUUGUUUGGGAAUGCAGCUCAAAAUGGGUGGUAUAUUUCAUCUAAAGCUAAAUAUUGGCCAGAGACCGAUAGCGCACAAGUAGAGUGAUCGAAAGAUGAAAAGCACUUUGGAAAGAGAGUUAAACAGUACGUGAAAUUGUUGAAAGGGAAGCGCUUGCAACCAGACUUGCGCGUAGUCGAUCAUCCGAUGUUCUCACCGGUGCACUCGAUUGCGUUCAGGCCAGCAUCGGUUUAGGUGGUUGGAUAAAGGCCUUGGGAAUGUGGCUCCUCCGGGAGUGUUAUAGCCCUCGGUGCAAUGCAGCCUACCUGGACCGAGGACCGCGCUUCGGCUAGGAUGCUGGCGUAAUGGUUGUAAGCGACCCGUCUUGAAACACGGACCAAGGAGUCUAACAUCUAUGCGAGUGUUUGGGUGUCAAACCCAUACGCGUAAUUAACGUGAACGGAGGUGAGAACCCUUAAGGGUGCAUCAUCGACCGAUCCUGAUGUCUUCGGAUGGAUUUGAGUAAGAGCAUAGCUGUUGGGACCCGAAAGAUGGUGAACUAUGCCUGAAUAGGGUGAAGCCAGAGGAAACUCUGGUGGAGGCUCGCAGCGGUUCUGACGUGCAAAUCGAUCGUCAAAUUUGGGCAUAGGGGCGAAAGACUAAUCGAACCAUCUAGUAGCUGGUUCCUGCCGAAGUUUCUCUCCCAGGAAUAGAAA
This 884-nucleotide ribosomal RNA is filed under the name Neolauriomyces crousii. Its description in RNAcentral is "partial large subunit ribosomal RNA". It matches the Rfam family "Eukaryotic large subunit ribosomal RNA", at positions 78 to 984 of the family's 3401-position model. Lineage: Eukaryota; Fungi; Ascomycota; Leotiomycetes; Helotiales; Neolauriomycetaceae. The record is from RNAcentral.